GACGAACGCUGGCGGCGUGCUUAACACAUGCAAGUCGAACGGAAAGGCCCUGCUUUUGUGGGUUGCUCGAGUGGCGAACGGGUGAGUAACACGUGAGUAACCUGCCCUUGACUUUGGGAUAACUUCAGGAAACUGGGGCUAAUACCGGAUAGGAGCUCCUGCUGCAGGGUGGGGGUUGGAAAGUUUCGGCGGUUGGGGAUGGACUCGCGGCUUAUCAGCUUGUUGGUGGGGUAGUGGCUUACCAAGGCUUUGACGGGUAGCCGGCCUGAGAGGGUGACCGGCCACAUUGGGACUGAGAUACGGCCCAGACUCCUACGGGAGGCAGCAGUGGGGAAUAUUGCACAAUGGGCGGAAGCCUGAUGCAGCAACGCCGCGUGCGGGAUGACGGCCUUCGGGUUGUAAACCGCUUUCGCCUGUGACGAAGCGUGAGUGACGGUAAUGGGUAAAGAAGCACCGGCUAACUACGUG
This 468-nucleotide ribosomal RNA is filed under the name uncultured bacterium. RNAcentral's name for it is "partial 16S ribosomal RNA". It matches the Rfam family "Bacterial small subunit ribosomal RNA", at positions 28 to 507 of the family's 1533-position model. The record is from RNAcentral.